RNAcentral lists this ribosomal RNA (253 nucleotides) under uncultured bacterium. Its description in RNAcentral is "partial 16S ribosomal RNA". It matches the Rfam family "Bacterial small subunit ribosomal RNA", at positions 524 to 776 of the family's 1533-position model. The record is from RNAcentral.
UACGUAGGGGGCGAGCGUUGUCCGGAUUUAUUGGGCGUAAAGAGCUCGUAGGUGGCUUGUCGCGUCUGCCGUGAAAGCCCAUGGCUUAACUGUGGGUCUGCGGUGGAUACGGGCAGGCUGGAGGCUGGUAGGGGCAAGCGGAAUUCCUGGUGUAGCGGUGAAAUGCGCAGAUAUCAGGAGGAACACCGGUGGCGAAGGCGGCUUGCUGGGCCAGUUCUGACGCUGAGGAGCGAAAGCGUGGGGAGCGAACAGG